Molecule: ribosomal RNA, 500 nt
Filed under: uncultured bacterium
Lineage: Bacteria
Description: partial 16S ribosomal RNA
Rfam family: Bacterial small subunit ribosomal RNA
Source: RNAcentral
GACGAACGCUGGCGGCGUGCUUAACACAUGCAAGUCGAACGGGCCUGUCUUCUUUUUUGGGGGGUGGGUUGAGUGGCGAACGGGUGAGUAUCACGUGAGUAACCUGCCCUUCGGUCCUGGAUAACCGCUUGAAAGGGCGGCUAAUACGGGGUGGUCCGGUUGGUCCGCAUGGGCUGGUCGGGAUAGAUUCACUGUUUUUGGUGUUUCGGCGGGGGAUGGGCUCGCGGCCUAUCAGCUUGUUGGUGGGGUGAUGGCCUACCAAGGCGGCGACGGGUAGCCGGCCUGAGAGGGUGGGCGGCCACACUGGGACUGAGAUACGGCCCAGACUCCUGCGGGAGGCAGCAGUGGGGGGUAUUGCACAAUGGGCGGAAGCCUGAUGCAGCGACGUCGCGUGAGGGAUGGAGGCCUUCGGGUUGUGAACCUCUGUUUCCGGUGGUGAAGGCCCUGUCCGUGUGGUGGGGUUGACGGUAGCCGGGGAUGAAGCGCCGGCUAACUACGUG